CCUACGGGAGGCAGCAGUGAGGAAUAUUGGUCAAUGGACGAGAGUCUGAACCAGCCAAGUAGCGUGAAGGAUGACUGCCCUAUGGGUUGUAAACUUCUUUUAUAUGGGAAUAAAAUGUUCCACGUGUGGGAUUUUGUAUGUACCAUAUGAAUAAGGAUCGGCUAACUCCGUGCCAGCAGCCGCGGUAAUACGGAGGAUCCGAGCGUUAUCCGGAUUUAUUGGGUUUAAAGGGAGCGUAGGUGGGUUGUUAAGUCAGUUGUGAAAGUUUGCGGCUCAACCGUAAAAUUGCAGUUGAAACUGGCAGUCUUGAGUACAGUAGAGGUGGGCGGAAUGCGUGGUGUAGCGGUGAAAUGCUUAGAUAUCACGAAGAACUCCGAUUGCGAAGGCAGUUCACUGGACUGCAACUGACACUGAGGCACGAAAGUGUGGGUAUCAAACAGGAUUAGAUACCCUGGUAGUC
RNAcentral lists this ribosomal RNA (460 nucleotides) under uncultured bacterium. RNAcentral's name for it is "partial 16S ribosomal RNA". It matches the Rfam family "Bacterial small subunit ribosomal RNA", at positions 338 to 795 of the family's 1533-position model. The record is from RNAcentral.